AGCCCAAGCGCCGCUCCUUCUUCACGCUCAAGAAGAACUGAGCGCCGCACGUUUCGCAUUAGGCGCCGCCCGCCGGCCGCCGCGCGCCCCGCCCCCCCCGGGCCGCGCCGCACAGCUCGGACGGCGUACAUUUCUCACGACGCUUGCCGCAGUAAGCUUUGCUAAUGACGAAAUUGUGUCCCAGCGGCCUUCACUCGAACACAUUGUUAUAUUAUUUUUGUUGCGUACAAAUGUAACGUUAUUUAAGACUGUUCCACGUUUGUGUGUCUGAUCCCCGCCCCUCUGUAUUUAUUGCGCGUGCGCCGCCACGCCCCCCGCCCUCCGCCCCGCCCCCUACGUGUAGUUGUGACAUGGAAAAUAUUCUUUUCAUUAUUGAAUUAAAUUUAAAUUAAAUUUAAAAAAAUAUAAAGUACAUAUUUAAAAAUUUUAAAAGCGAUGCUAUUUAUGAGUAAAACGAGUUUUAACGUUUAAAUUCAGAUUGAUAUUAUAUACGUAUAAUUGUUUAUAAAUAUAUAUCUAUACAUAUAUAUGUAUGUAAUUGACAUAGAAUUUAAAAAAAAGAUGUAAAUUCAUUUGAACUAGAAAUGUAUGACGUUCUACCUUACAAUGUAAACUGACUAGAUGUUUUUUUUAUUGUAUUAAUCGACCAAGAUAUCGUUGCGAUGCAGCUGAGACGAGUGUUGCUGAACUCGUGUACACGAUGUAAACGCAUUUAUACAACCUGACCUUUGACGUCACUCGACGGAGUGAUAUACUUUCAUAACUUGACCUACGUAACUAUUUAGUAUUUAUUUCUUAUAUAAAAUGUCUUUACCGCACUCUGGAGUCGCCAUUCGCCGUAAGAUGUCGCAUUUAAAUGAAUUUUUAUCAUAAAAAUUUCUCCUUUAGAUUGAACAUUAUCGCAUAGUGUAGAUGUUGCGUGCGGCGACUGCAAAGUGCUUUUGAAAUAAUUCUUGUAAGUAAUGCUUAGCCUCCUCUGCGCUUCGAACUCUUUAUACGAAUGUUUCGAUUUUUCCUUUUUACUGCCAAUAUUUUUCACUGAUUUUAAUUUGUUAAGUAUUAAAUAUCCAUUUUUUGACUAAAAUUUCACUUUUAUUAGAUUUAACGAUCACACAUUUUUAGUUCGUACGUAUUUUUAUUGUAUAGAGCGUUUGCGUGCGGUGGCCCCUCCCCGGGAGUUAGUGCUUAGUGCUUGCCCCGGUGACCUGGAUUACUAAACACCGUUAGAUAUCCCACCGCAUUGCUGUACAUCGCAUAUAUAUGCCUAUGUUUAAAUAAUUUUAUUUUAAAAAAUUUACUUUUUUUGAGGAAAAUAUAAUAAAUGAUGUUUUCAAAUA
Long non-coding RNA from Papilio polytes (common Mormon), 1337 nucleotides. RefSeq lists it as uncharacterized. NCBI's taxonomy places the organism in Eukaryota, Metazoa, Arthropoda, Insecta, Lepidoptera, Papilionidae. The transcript is spliced from 2 exons. The record is from RefSeq and is a predicted model, not a curated record.